CUUGAACGCACGAACAAAACGCCGCUAUUUGGAUAUAACUAUGGAUUAUUUUGAACCAAACCAACAUUUGUUAUUGAAGUAGAAGUCCUGGGAGUGCAUUCUGACGAAGAACAGCAAAGGAGACUGCAGUACAAAAAAAUCUUCUGCAAGAGGUCGAAGCAGUGGGUGGAGAAGAAAGUGUAAGAGACUUGUCCACUUGGCUGUGGAGCGAAGAAAGGACCAGACGGUUGUCUACAAGGAGCCAGAGUCCCAGCCCCCCAAACCUAACAUACCUACCAACAUUGCCACAGCAUCAAAGCUAGCUAAACCAGCUGCCAUUACCCAACACCAGAAGAACAUUCAACCAACACAACAUCCAUAUUCAGUUAGACUGAUGUUGUUGUAUAAAAUAGAAUGCCUAGUAUGCUCACAACUGCAUUGUGGAAUAGAUAUUGCAAGCUGUAGUACAUAUGUUAUUUUAUAUCAUCAUUUUUACAAGUGUACUGACAAGUGACUAAAUGAUUCCAACUGCAUCAGAAACC
Molecule: long non-coding RNA, 521 nt
Filed under: Salmo salar (Atlantic salmon)
Lineage: Eukaryota; Metazoa; Chordata; Actinopteri; Salmoniformes; Salmonidae
Description: lncRNA (ENSSSAG00000106622.1, ENSSSAG00000118734.1, ENSSSAG00020009011.1)
Source: RNAcentral